Molecule: ribosomal RNA, 524 nt
Filed under: Ampedus sp. UPOL RK0018
Lineage: Eukaryota; Metazoa; Arthropoda; Insecta; Coleoptera; Elateridae
Description: partial 16S ribosomal RNA
Rfam family: Bacterial large subunit ribosomal RNA
Source: RNAcentral
CAUGUCUUUUUGAUUAUAAUUUAAGGUUUAAUCUGCUCAAUGAGGAUUUAAAUUGCCGCGGUAUUUUGACCGUGCAAAGGUAGCAUAAUAAUUAGUUUUUUUAUUGAAAGCUGGAAUGAAUGAUUGGACGAGAAAAUUACUGUCUCUUUAUGAUUUAAUUUUAAAUUUAACUUUUGAGUUAAAAGGCUCAAAUUUAAGUUAAAGACGAGAAGACCCUAUAGAGUUUAAUAUUUCUUAAUUUAUUAUGGUUUUGGUAUUUAUUUUUUUAGAUUGAGUUUUAUUUGGUUGGGGUGACUAGAAGAUUAAUGUAACUCUUCUUUUAUUUUUAUCAAUGAUUUUUGAAUAGAUAAUCUGGUGAUUACCAAAUUUAAUAAAAAUUACCUUAGGGAUAACAGCGUAAUUUCCUUUUAGAGUUCUUAUUGGAAGGGGAGUUUGCGACCUCGAUGUUGGAUUAAAAUUUAUUUUGGGUGUAGAAGCUUGAAUAUUGAGUCUGUUCGACUUUUAAAAUUUUACAUGAUCUGAGU